GUUAUAUUAGCUUAAUUGGUAGAGCAUUCGUUUUGUAAUCGAAAGGUUUGGGG
RNAcentral lists this transfer RNA (53 nucleotides) under Saccharomyces mikatae. RNAcentral describes it as "tRNA-Thr". It matches the Rfam family "tRNA", at positions 1 to 51 of the family's 71-position model. From Rfam's summary of the family: Transfer RNA (tRNA) molecules are approximately 80 nucleotides in length. Lineage: Eukaryota; Fungi; Ascomycota; Saccharomycetes; Saccharomycetales; Saccharomycetaceae. The record is from RNAcentral.